AGCAGCCGCGGUAAUUCCAGCUCCAAUAGCGUAUAUUAAAGUUGUUGCAGUUAAAAAGCUCGUAGUUGAAUUUCGGGGUUAGUAGGCUGGUCAUGCCACCGGUAUGUACUGGUCUUUCUGAUUCCUCCUUCCUGAUGAACUGUAAUGCCAUUAAUUUGGUGUUGCAGGGAAUCUGGACUGUUACUUUGAAAAAAUUAGAGUGUUUAAAGCAGGCUAACGCUUGAAUACAUUAGCAUGGAAUAAUGAAAUAGGACGUUCGAUCCUAUUUUGUUGGUUUCUAGGAUUGACGUAAUGAUUAAUAGGGAUAGUUGGGGGCAUUAGUAUUCAAUUGUCAGAGGUGAAAUUCUUGGAUUUAUUGAAGACUAACUACUGCGAAAGCAUUUGCCAUGGAUGUUUUCAUUAAUCAAGAACGAAAGUUAGGGGAUCGAAGACGAUCAGAUACCGUCGUAGUCUUAACCAUAAACUAUGCCGACUAGGGAUCGGAUGAUGUUAAUUUUUUAAUGACUCA
RNAcentral lists this ribosomal RNA (508 nucleotides) under Glomus sp. OGS10. RNAcentral's name for it is "SSU rRNA". It matches the Rfam family "Eukaryotic small subunit ribosomal RNA", at positions 569 to 1078 of the family's 1831-position model. The record is from RNAcentral. Lineage: Eukaryota; Fungi; Glomeromycota; Glomeromycetes; Glomerales; Glomeraceae.